Molecule: ribosomal RNA, 535 nt
Filed under: Leifsonia sp. 7PE5.9
Lineage: Bacteria; Bacillati; Actinomycetota; Actinomycetes; Micrococcales; Microbacteriaceae
Description: bacterial SSU rRNA
Rfam family: Bacterial small subunit ribosomal RNA
Source: RNAcentral
CUUGCUCCUUCUGAUCAUGGCGAACGGGUGAGUAACACGUGAGUAACCUGCCCCAAACUCUGGGAUAAGCACUGGAAACGGUGUCUAAUACCGGAUACGAGCUUCAGCCGCAUGGCUAGGAGUUGGAAAGAAUUUCGGUUUGGGAUGGACUCGCGGCCUAUCAGCUAGUUGGUGAGGUAAUGGCUCACCAAGGCGACGACGGGUAGCCGGCCUGAGAGGGUGACCGGCCACACUGGGACUGAGACACGGCCCAGACUCCUACGGGAGGCAGCAGUGGGGAAUAUUGCACAAUGGGCGCAAGCCUGAUGCAGCAACGCCGCGUGAGGGACGACGGCCUUCGGGUUGUAAACCUCUUUUAGUAGGGAAGAAGCGAAAGUGACGGUACCUGCAGAAAAAGCACCGGCUAACUACGUGCCAGCAGCCGCGGUAAUACGUAGGGUGCAAGCGUUGUCCGGAAUUAUUGGGCGUAAAGAGCUCGUAGGCGGUUUGUCGCGUCUGCUGUGAAAACCCGAGGCUCAACCUCGGGCCUGCAGUG